This is a long non-coding RNA of Bombus pascuorum, 1093 nucleotides long. RefSeq lists it as uncharacterized. The record is from RefSeq and is a predicted model, not a curated record. NCBI's taxonomy places the organism in Eukaryota, Metazoa, Arthropoda, Insecta, Hymenoptera, Apidae. The transcript is spliced from 2 exons.
AGCUUCUGCAAUCAUCGCCUGUUCAUACUUAAACACAAACUGAAGAGCAACUUGUAGAGUUUAUUUAAAAAAGAAAGAAAUUUAUUCAAGACAUCCAUCAGAAGAUUUUCAGCUUAUUUCUACAAUGAUUUCAACCAGAAGACUCAUCGUUAUCUUCAUUGCAACUCUAGCUAUGUUUGCAACCUUAAUAAAUGCGAAACCAGCAACGAUUCGCCCAGCAGGCGCCAUAACAGCGUAUCCUAUACCACAGCGACCACCAUACGCACCAAAUCCAUGGGUUUAUCCAAAACCCACGGUCGAACCAAUUCAUCAAUGAAAAUCAUAAAGGUGGAAGGUCUAGGUGGAAGAAGAAAUAUGUAGCAAGGAAAGAAUAUUUAGUAAGUUCUUGGAAUUCCUUUCCAUAAUUACCAGACUGUGGCUUUUUAUAAAAAUUCGCAUCUUUAUAAACUUAAUGAAACAAAUUUCACACGAUCUAAGUAAUACUUUGUUUCAUCCACUGAAUAUUACAAUAAGUAUUAUAUUUUUGAUAUUCUUUUGCAUUCUUGUAAUUUUACAUUUUCUAUAGAUGAAUAAAAAUCAGCAUUUUAAUAAUUAUCAUAUGAAUUCGAUAAAAGUCAAUAGCUAGUUGACUAGAGGAAGAUUGCAAAUGAAACGUGUUAACGCACUGUAAACUGUAAGUCAUUCAUGAGUUAACCAUGGUCAGGUACAAUUUACUAACCAGAUCACAUGUGUUGUACACGAAGAGCAAAUGAAAUAAAAGAAAGAGAGAGAGAGAGAGAGAGAGAGAGAGCAACUUCUCGAGUACGUGUAAUAAUAUCGGGUGUCCAAUUCGUCAUUCAUUACUUUGUAAAAGUAUUAUAAACUAUUGAAAAUAAUCAAACGAAACACAAUUUUAUUUGGUUUGCGUUUGGUUAUAUAUAGAAGUAUAGAUUGUAUAACGUAUACAGAGUGUUAUGUAACUGUAAACAUUUUAUAAUCCAGUAAAAUCGAAACAGCAAAAUGUAUAAUAAAAAUUAAUCCACUUUGUUCAAAGAAACGAUGUAGAAAAUUAUAACGAAAAAUUAUUCAAUUUACAAGAAAAUAAUUAUUAAUA